CCCGUCACACCAUGGGAGCUAGCUGUACCGGAAGUCAGUGCGCCAACCCGCAAGGGGGGCAGCUGCCUAUGGUAUGGCUGGUGACUGGGGUG
Molecule: ribosomal RNA, 92 nt
Filed under: uncultured bacterium
Lineage: Bacteria
Description: partial 16S ribosomal RNA
Rfam family: Bacterial small subunit ribosomal RNA
Source: RNAcentral